This 407-nucleotide long non-coding RNA is filed under the name Homo sapiens (human). RNAcentral describes it as "non-protein coding lnc-ULBP2-4:1". Lineage: Eukaryota; Metazoa; Chordata; Mammalia; Primates; Hominidae. The record is from RNAcentral.
CUCCGCGGCCCCACAGAAAGCAGGAGGAGCUGUUCAGCAACUUGCAGAGACAGCCAGAGAGUGCUUCAAGGACUGCAUGGAGCUCUGGAGAAGUGGCAAAUUCAGGACCCUCUUUUGUGGGGCAUGAGAUAUAUAGGCAGGAUCAUUUCUACCAAAGAGGCUGUCACUUUGGCUUAUCAAUACUUUCAUCUCCCUACCCCUUCCAGAUCACAGUGGGUGCUUUACUUGUUUUUAUGGAUUAUUGUGUCAACCAAGAUGAGAGGUCAGAAUCACCCUAAAGAUUUGAAACUUCUUCAAGAUUUGACAAAUGCGCAUUUUAAUGCCCCUCCUAUUUUCAGGAAGCUGUGGCUAAAGAAAACAUUUUAUUAUAUAGCAUUGCCCAAAUUACUUAUACAGAAUUUUAAAAA